RNAcentral lists this ribosomal RNA (440 nucleotides) under uncultured bacterium. RNAcentral's name for it is "partial 16S ribosomal RNA". It matches the Rfam family "Bacterial small subunit ribosomal RNA", at positions 338 to 795 of the family's 1533-position model. The record is from RNAcentral.
CCUACGGGUGGCAGCAGUGGGGAAUAUUGCACAAUGGGGGAAACCCUGAUGCAGCGACGCCGCGUGAAGGAAGAAGUAUUUCGGUAUGUAAACUUCUAUCAGCAGGGAAGCAAAUGACGGUACCUGACUACGAAGCCCCGGCUAACUACGUGCCAGCAGCCGCGGUACUACGUAGGGGGCCAGCGUUAUCCGGAUUUACUGGGUGUAAAGGGAGCGUAGGCGGUUUAGCAAGUCAGAAGUGAAAGCCCGGGGCUCAACUCCGGGACUGCUUUUGAAACUGUUGAACUAGAGUGCAGGAGAGGUAAGUGGAAUGCCUAGUGUAGCGGUGAAAUGCGUAGAUAUCAGGAGGAACACCGGUGGCGAAGGCGGCCUGCUGGACUGCAACUGACGUUGAGGCCCGAAAGCGUGGGGAGCAAACAGGAUUAGAUACCCGAGUAGUC